RNAcentral lists this ribosomal RNA (346 nucleotides) under uncultured bacterium. Its description in RNAcentral is "partial 16S ribosomal RNA". It matches the Rfam family "Bacterial small subunit ribosomal RNA", at positions 338 to 701 of the family's 1533-position model. The record is from RNAcentral.
CCUACGGGCGGCAGCAGUGGGGAAUAUUGCACAAUGGGGGAAACCCUGAUGCAGCGACGCCGCGUGAGUGAAGAAGUAUUUCGGUAUGUAAAGCUCUAUCAGCAGGGAAGAGAAUGACGGUACCUGACGAAGAAGCCCCGGCUAACUACGGGCCAGCAGCCUCGGUAAUACGUCGGGGGCAAGCGUUAUCCGGAUUUACUGGGUUUAACGGGAGCGUAGGUGGCAGGGCAAGUCAGAUGUGAAAACCCGGGGCUCAACCCCGGGAGUGCAUGUGAAACUGUCCCGCUGGAGUGCAGGAGAGGUUAGCGGCAUUCCUCGUGUCGCCGUGACAUGCAUAGAUAUUAGG